Molecule: ribosomal RNA, 253 nt
Filed under: uncultured bacterium
Lineage: Bacteria
Description: partial 16S ribosomal RNA
Rfam family: Bacterial small subunit ribosomal RNA
Source: RNAcentral
UACGUAGGUGGCAAGCGAUACUCGGAAUCACUAGGCGUAAAGCGCAGGUAGGCGGUUGGGUAAGUCUUUUGUGAAAGCUCCUGGCUUAACUGGGAGAGGUCAAAGGAAACUACUCGGCUAGAGUUUGGUAGGGGAUACUGGAAUUCCUGGUGUAGCGGUGAAAUGCGUAGAUAUCAGGAGGAAUACCUAUGGCGAAAGCAGGUAUCUGGGCCACAACUGACGCUGAGCUGCGAAAGCUAGGGGAGCAAACAGG